AUAAUGGGUCAGCGACUUAUAUUCUGUAGCAAGGUUAACCGAAUAGGGGAGCCGAAGGGAAACCGAGUCUUAACUGGGCGUUAAGUUGCAGGGUAUAGACCCGAAACCCGGUGAUCUAGCCAUGGGCAGGUUGAAGGUUGGGUAACACUAACUGGAGGACCGAACCGACUAAUGUUGAAAAAUUAGCGGAUGACUUGUGGCUGGGGGUGAAAGGCCAAUCAAACCGGGAGAUAGCUGGUUCUCCCCGAAAGCUAUUUAGGUAGCGCCUCGUGAAUUCAUCUCCGGGGGUAGAGCACUGUUUCGGCAAGGGGGUCAUCCCGACUUACCAACCCGAUGCAAACUGCGAAUACCGGAGAAUGUUAUCACGGGAGACACACGGCGGGUGCUAACGUCCGUCGUGAAGAGGGAAACAACCCAGACCGCCAGCUAAGGUCCCAAAGUCAUGGUUAAGUGGGAAACGAUGUGGGAAGGCCCAGACAGCCAGGAUGUUGGCUUAGAAGCAGCCAUCAUUUAAAGAAAGCGUAAUAGCUCACUGGUCGAGUCGGCCUGCGCGGAAGAUGUAACGGGGCUAAACCAUGCACCGAAGCUGCGGCAGCGACGCUGAUGCGUUGUUGGGUAGGGGAGCGUUCUGUAAGCCUGUGAAGGUGUGCUGUGAGGCAUGCUGGAGGUAUCAGAAGUGCGAAUGCUGACAUAAGUAACGAUAAAGCGGGUGAAAAGCCCGCUCGCCGGAAGACCAAGGGUUCCUGUCCAACGUUAAUCGGGGCAGGGUGAGUCGACCCCUAAGGCGAGGCCGAAAGGCGUAGUCGAUGGGAAACAGGUUAAUAUUCCUGUACUUGGUGUUACUGCGAAGGGGGGACGGAGAAGGCUAUGUUGGCCGGGCGACGGUUGUCCCGGUUUAAGCGUGUAGGCUGGUUUUCCAGGCAAAUCCGGAAAACUAAGGCUGAGGCGUGAUGACGAGGCACUACGGUGCUGAAGCAACAAAUGCCCUGCUUCCAGGAAAAGCCUCUAAGCAUCAGGUAACAUCAAAUCGUACCCCAAACCGACACAGGUGGUCAGGUAGAGAAUACCAAGGCGCUUGAGAGAACUCGGGUGAAGGAACUAGGCAAAAUGGUGCCGUAACUUCGGGAGAAGGCACGCUGAUAUGUAGGUGAAGUCCCUCGCGGAUGGAGCUGAAAUCAGUCGAAGAUACCAGCUGGCUGCAACUGUUUAUUAAAAACACAGCACUGUGCAAACACGAAAGUGGACGUAUACGGUGUGACGCCUGCCCGGUGCCGGAAGGUUAAUUGAUGGGGUCAGCGCAAGCGAAGCUCUUGAUCGAAGCCCCGGUAAACGGCGGCCGUAACUAUAACGGUCCUAAGGUAGCGAAAUUCCUUGUCGGGUAAGUUCCGACCUGCACGAAUGGCGUAAUGAUGGCCAGGCUGUCUCCACCCGAGACUCAGUGAAAUUGAACUCGCUGUGAAGAUGCAGUGUACCCGCGGCAAGACGGAAAGACCCCGUGAACCUUUACUAUAGCUUGACACUGAACAUUGAGCCUUGAUGUGUAGGAUAGGUGGGAGGCUUUGAAGUGUGGACGCCAGUCUGCAUGGAGCCGACCUUGAAAUACCACCCUUUAAUGUUUGAUGUUCUAACGUUGACCCGUAAUCCGGGUUGCGGACAGUGUCUGGUGGGUAGUUUGACUGGGGCGGUCUCCUCCUAAAGAGUAACGGAGGAGCACGAAGGUUGGCUAAUCCUGGUCGGACAUCAGGAGGUUAGUGCAAUGGCAUAAGCCAGCUUGACUGCGAGCGUGACGGCGCGAGCAGGUGCGAAAGCAGGUCAUAGUGAUCCGGUGGUUCUGAAUGGAAGGGCCAUCGCUCAACGGAUAAAAGGUACUCCGGGGAUAACAGGCUGAUACCGCCCAAGAGUUCAUAUCGACGGCGGUGUUUGGCACCUCGAUGUCGGCUCAUCACAUCCUGGGGCUGAAGUAGGUCCCAAGGGUAUGGCUGUUCGCCAUUUAAAGUGGUACGCGAGCUGGGUUUAGAACGUCGUGAGACAGUUCGGUCCCUAUCUGCCGUGGGCGCUGGAGAACUGAGGGGGGCUGCUCCUA
This 2083-nucleotide ribosomal RNA is filed under the name Escherichia coli. Its description in RNAcentral is "partial 23S ribosomal RNA". It matches the Rfam family "Bacterial large subunit ribosomal RNA", at positions 612 to 2680 of the family's 2925-position model. Lineage: Bacteria; Pseudomonadati; Pseudomonadota; Gammaproteobacteria; Enterobacterales; Enterobacteriaceae. The record is from RNAcentral.